CCUACGGGAGGCAGCAGUGAGGAAUAUUGGUCAAUGGGCGGAAGCCUGAACCAGCCAAGUAGCGUGCAGGAUGAAGGCCCUACGGGUUGUAAACUGCUUUUAUACGGGAAUAACGCGCCUUACGUGUAGGGCUUUGCAUGUACCGUAUGAAUAAGGACCGGCUAAUUCCGUGCCAGCAGCCGCGGUAAUACGGAAGGUCCGGGCGUUAUCCGGAUUUAUUGGGUUUAAAGGGAGCGUAGGCCGCCUGUCAAGCGUGCUGUGAAAUGCCCGGGCUCAACCCGGGCCUUGCAGCGCAAACUGGCUUGCUUGAGUCCACAGAAGGCAGGCGGAAUUCGUGGUGUAGCGGUGAAAUGCGUAGAUAUGACGAAGAACCCCGAUUGCGAAGGCAGCUUGCUGCAGUGGGACUGACGCUGAGGCUCGAAAGCGCGGGUAUCGAACAGGAUUAGAUACCCGUGUAGUC
Molecule: ribosomal RNA, 460 nt
Filed under: uncultured bacterium
Lineage: Bacteria
Description: partial 16S ribosomal RNA
Rfam family: Bacterial small subunit ribosomal RNA
Source: RNAcentral